GAGGGGGGCAAGCGUUAUUCGGAAUUACUGGGCGUAAAGGGUACGUAGGUGGCAAUUUAAGUCAGUUGUUAAAGAUCACGGCUUACCCGUGAAAAUGCGAUUGAUACUGGAUAGCUAGAGGAUAGGAGAGAGAAGUGGAAUUCUCGGAGUAGCGGUAAAAUGCGUAGAUCUCGAGAGGAACACCGAUAGCGAAGGCAGCUUCUUGGCCUAUUCCUGACACUAAAGUACGAAAGCGUGGGAGCAAACAGGAUUAGAUACCCUGGUAGUCCACGCCGUAAACGAUGAUCACUAGAUGUGGGUUGUGCUUGCACGAUCCGUGUCGAAGCUAACGCGUUAAGUGAUCCGCCUGGGAGUACGGUCGCAAGAUUA
This 369-nucleotide ribosomal RNA is filed under the name uncultured organism. Its description in RNAcentral is "partial 16S ribosomal RNA". It matches the Rfam family "Bacterial small subunit ribosomal RNA", at positions 527 to 896 of the family's 1533-position model. The record is from RNAcentral.